CCAGAGACUAGAGUCUCACCCCGACCCCCCCCUGGUCCUGGUGUGCUAAAGUUCUCUCAGAUCAAAGAUCCUGGUCCUGUUCCCCGGCUGGACCUUGUGGUCCAGCCGCCCACUGCGUCAGUCACAGAC
Small nucleolar RNA from Cololabis saira (Pacific saury), 129 nucleotides. RefSeq annotates it as small nucleolar RNA SNORA3/SNORA45 family. The transcript has a single exon. Lineage: Eukaryota; Metazoa; Chordata; Actinopteri; Beloniformes; Belonidae. The record is from RefSeq and is a predicted model, not a curated record.